Molecule: ribosomal RNA, 502 nt
Filed under: uncultured bacterium
Lineage: Bacteria
Description: bacterial SSU rRNA
Rfam family: Bacterial small subunit ribosomal RNA
Source: RNAcentral
GAGCACUGUAGAGAGUUUGAUCMUGGCUCAGGAUGAACGCUGGCGGAGUGCCUAACACAUGCAAGUCGAGCGGCAGCGCAGAGUAGUUUACUACUYGGGCGGCGAGCGGCGGACGGCUGAGUAACGCGUGGGAACGUGCCCCAAAGUGAGGAAUAACUGCCCGAAAGGGUAGCUAAUGCCGCAUAUGAUCUUCGGAUUAAAGGAUUUAUCCGCUUUGGGAGCGGCCCGCGUCAGAUUAGGUAGUUGGUGAGGUAAAGGCUCACCAAGCCGACGAUCUGUAGCUGGUCUGAGAGGAUGACCAGCCAGACUGGAACUGAGACACGGUCCAGACUCCUACGGGAGGCAGCAGUGAGGAAUCUUCCACAAUGGACGAAAGUCUGAUGGAGCAACUCCGCGUGCAGGAUGAAGGCCCUCGGGUCGUAAACUGCUUUUAUGAGUGAAGAAUAUGACGGUAACUCAUGAAUAAGGGUCGGCUAACUACGUGCCAGCAGCCGCGGUAAUA